CUAUUUGCAGGUCAGGAUGUAAACUCUCAGCUGCCCUGUCUGCCUGUCAUCAUACUUCACCGCUGUGAUGGUUGGCACAUGCUCAGCCCAGGGAGUGGCACUAUUAGGAGGUGUGGCCUUGUAGAGCAGAGGGAGGCUGACAACGUCGGUCUGGAAAAGCGUUGUAAAGUUCUCCAGCAGAGGACUCACCAGUUACUAGCUUCAUCUCUUAGGUUUCCUUUCCUCCUCUCUUUCCCUGGUGUUUCCCCAACCUCAGCCAUAAGCCACAAAAGAAGCUGCAUUUCUCAAUGCUGAUAGAUGAAUUCAAGCCAGACACAAACUGGAUGAUUAGAACAUUUAUCAUCUCAUUCUCGGUGCUUGAAGUCUGAACUCAAGGUGUCCUGAAGGCUUCCCCCAACCCCUCGUUAAUUUAUUCCUUUGUUCAGUUUACAUCCCGGUCGCUGCCCCCUCUCCUCCCAGUGCCCCACCUCUAAGAAGGGGUAGGUCCCUCCUGGGGAACCAACACCCUGGCAACUCAAGUCACUACAGGACUGGUACACCCUCUCCUUCUGAGGCCAGACAACGCAGCGCAGUUACAGGAGCAGGAUCCACAGGCAGGCAAUAGAGUCAGGGUAAGCCCGGGUUCCAGGUGUUGGGGGACCCACAUGAAAAUCAAGCUGCACAUCUACUACAUAAAUUUGGGGAUGGAAGGUUGAGGGGGGCUAGAUCCAGUCUUUGUGUGCUCUUUGGUUGGUGGUUCAGUCUCUGAGAGCCCCCAAGGGUCUACUUCUGGGCGCUUGACGUUGGAACUCAAGGUGUCCUUCUGAAGGCUUUAGAAAAGUUUUUCCUUGCAUGCCUGAGUCCUGGUGUUCCAGACAGUCUGCACCAUCAUCCUUCAUUGUGAAGGUCGUUCUUGGUGGCCCAUUUCACCAUAUCUGGAUUUCACUAAAAACCCAAGGUGCUGGGUGCACCUGUGAGGGAUAAUUAGUUAACUGGAUCAUUUGAAGUGGAAAGACCUACCUUGGAUCAUUUGAGGUCAGGAGCCACACUAUAAAUCUGGGCCACACCUUCUCGUGGCCACUUUUAUAAAGGACAAGGAAGAAAGAUGCUCCUGUUCUUUGCCUGCUUGUCCUGAAGGACCCUCAUUCUUACUGAAGUGUAAGAGCUAUUAAGAAGCUUGACCUGGUAGAAAGUAGGUAGAUUAUGGGGUACGUGUGAAGGACUUUAGAGGCUUUCACCAGCCUUAUACCCACCACCUCAGGUCAAGAUUAGGCCAAGUACCAGCUUCCCACUUCAGGUCAAGGCUAGGCUAAGUUCCAUUCUCCGCCCACAGUUCUCAGGAGGAGCAGGGACAUUCUUGAAAAACCACAGAAUGUACUGACUGAUAGUCACCUGACCUUCUGGUUCCAAAUAGAGUUCGAAUGUAUGUCAUAUGCUUGCUAGCCAAUAGAUUCAAAGGUCAAUAUGCUUAGCCAAUAAGUUUAAACUGCAACCUUUCUGACAUAACCUGUACCCCUAAAAAGUAUAAAAACUGUGUUAUAGCCCGACAGUCACUCGACACGAGGGGCUGAUAGAAGGUAGACCCC
Molecule: long non-coding RNA, 1565 nt
Organism: Rattus norvegicus (Norway rat)
Lineage: Eukaryota; Metazoa; Chordata; Mammalia; Rodentia; Muridae
Source: Ensembl